RNAcentral lists this ribosomal RNA (502 nucleotides) under uncultured bacterium. RNAcentral describes it as "partial 16S ribosomal RNA". It matches the Rfam family "Bacterial small subunit ribosomal RNA", at positions 30 to 523 of the family's 1533-position model. The record is from RNAcentral.
AUUGAACGCUGGCGGCAUGCCUUACACAUGCAAGUCGAACGGCAGCACGGGUGCUUGCACCUGGUGGCGAGUGGCGAACGGGUGAGUAAUACAUCGGAACGUGCCCAGUCGUGGGGGAUAACGUAGUGAAAAUUACGCUAAUACCGCAUACGAUCUACGGAUGAAAGCGGGGGAUCGCAAGACCUCGCGCGAUUGGAGCGGCCGAUAUCAGAUUCGGUAGUUGGUGAGGUAAAGGCUCACCAAGCCGACGAUCUGUAGCUGGUCUGAGAGGACGCCCAGCCACACUGGGACUGACAAACGGCCCAGACUCCUACGGGAGACAGCAGUGGGGAAUUUUGGACAAUGGACGCAAGUCUGAUCCAGCCAUUCCGCGUGCAGGACGAAGGCCUUCGGGUUGUAAACUGCUUUUGUACAGAACGAAAAGGUCUCUACUAAUACUAGGGGCUCAUGACGGUACUGUAAGAAUAAGCACCGGCUAACUACGUGCCAGCCGCCGCCGUAA